Molecule: long non-coding RNA, 433 nt
Organism: Tupaia belangeri chinensis (Chinese tree shrew)
Lineage: Eukaryota; Metazoa; Chordata; Mammalia; Scandentia; Tupaiidae
Exons: 3
Source: RefSeq, a predicted model, not a curated record
GUGAAAACAAAAGGUUUUAAGAGAUCAUCCCCUGCUGACUGCCCCCACACCAGUUGCCACCCAACGACGCAGUCUCUAACCCAACAGCCAGAGUGAUCUUUUUCUUUAAUUGCCGAAUUGAUUUCCUGGAGAUGAUGAACCAGAGCUGGACUCCAAGGAAGAGCCAUGUGUUCUCAGCUUCCUAAACUUGGUCAACAGCCUGCAUUGCCUUCCAGUGGUCCCUCCUCAGAAGUAAUGGCCCUAUCUCAGAUGACAAGAUUGAGAUUUUUCUGAGCUUCAAUCUACUACAUAAAUUUGGACACUAGGUGGAAAACUUUAAUGAGGCCACAGCAGUUAGUGGAGUAGGAGGUGAACAGGCUGGGCUGCUCUGAACUCAACUCACCACUGGUCUGUAUUCCUGAACAAGUCAAUGAAUCUCUCUAUGCCUCAGUUU